This 919-nucleotide small RNA is filed under the name uncultured Strophariaceae. RNAcentral describes it as "eukaryotic LSU rRNA". The stretch from base 671 to 919 matches the Rfam family "Eukaryotic large subunit ribosomal RNA", at positions 1 to 241 of the family's 3401-position model. The record is from RNAcentral. Lineage: Eukaryota; Fungi; Basidiomycota; Agaricomycetes; Agaricales; Strophariaceae.
AGAGGAAGUAAAAGUCGUAACAAGGUUUCCGUAGGUGAACCUGCGGAAGGAUCAUUACAGAAGAAAUUGAUAGGGUUGAGCUGACUCUUUGGAGUAUGUGCUUGCACUGUCACUUUUUCUAUUCUCCCUUGUGAACCCUUUUGUAGACUUUUUAUGAUAUUGAACUUUCUAGUUCACUUGGGACUCGCAUCUUAUAUUGAGAUGCUUGACUCUAACCUUAUCAUAUCAGUCUAUGAUUUCUUAUACAUCUACUCUUCAGUUUAUGAAUGUCUUUUUUUGUUGGUUUUUAAUACCAAUAAAUUUGCUUGUACAACUUUCAGCAACGGAUCUCUUGGCUCUCGCAUCGAUGAAGAACGCAGCGAAAUGCGAUAAGUAAUGUGAAUUGCAGAAUUCAGUGAAUCAUCGAAUCUUUGAACGCACCUUGCACUCCUUGGUAUUCCGAGGAGUAUGCCUGUUUGAGUGUCAUUAAAUUCUCAAACUUUUUUUCCUUGUUUAUUCCUUGGAAAGAUAGUUUGGAUAUGGGAGUUUGCUGGUUUUUUAAAUCAGCUCUCUUUAAAUUCAUUAGUGGAUUUGGACUUGUUCCACAUUCUCAAUUGAUGUGAUAGUUAUCUACAUCAUUAGAGAUUGAAUUAUCUGCUUAUAAUUGUCUCUUGACGUACUUUUGACAAUUUGACCUCAAAUCAGGUAGGACUACCCGCUGAACUUAAGCAUAUCAAUAAGCGGAGGAAAAGAAACUAACAAGGAUUCCCCUAGUAACUGCGAGUGAAGCGGGAAGAGCUCAAAUUUGAAAUCUGGCAGUUCUUGUAGCUGUCCGAGUUGUAAUUUAGAGAAGUGUUGCCCGCGCUGGACCGUAUAUAAGUCCUUUGGAAUGAGGCGUCAUAGAGGGUGAGAAUCCCGUCUUUGAUACGGACUACCAGUG